This 75-nucleotide transfer RNA is filed under the name Desulfuromonas sp. Its description in RNAcentral is "tRNA-Gly". It matches the Rfam family "tRNA". Rfam says of the family: Transfer RNA (tRNA) molecules are approximately 80 nucleotides in length. Their secondary structure includes four short double-helical elements and three loops (D, anti-codon, and T loops). RNAcentral also lists the same sequence under 5 other names. The record is from RNAcentral. Lineage: Bacteria; Pseudomonadati; Thermodesulfobacteriota; Desulfuromonadia; Desulfuromonadales; Desulfuromonadaceae.
GCGGGAAUAACUCAGUGGUAGAGUGUCAGCUUCCCAAGCUGAAGGUCGCGGGUUCAAAUCCCGUUUCCCGCUCCA